Long non-coding RNA from Brachypodium distachyon (stiff brome), 1710 nucleotides. RefSeq lists it as uncharacterized. The record is from RefSeq and is a predicted model, not a curated record. The transcript is spliced from 2 exons. Lineage: Eukaryota; Viridiplantae; Streptophyta; Magnoliopsida; Poales; Poaceae.
AAUUCAUAUGGCACCUCCUGGGGAGAUAAGGGUUACAUGUACGCUAGGCGUGGGGUUCAGCAACCCGGGGGCAUGUGUGGGAUCGCUGCGAAGGCCAGCUACCCGAACAUGUGAGUGCGACACAUCUUGUGUUUAAUAAUAAUAAUAAAGUGAACACAAGUGUUGCUUGUGCCUUCUGUGUGACCUUGGUUGCCCUAACUCCUAAUCAUGCAUGCAUUCUUGGAUGGUGACACGCACACCUUCUGUAUAAUUUUGUUUAGAUGCUGUGCGUUCAGUUUUGUGAGCAGCCGUGUCUGGGUCGAUAUUCUAGUUGUAUGUUUCAGAAUGUUAAGGCUGCAGGUGCUGGCUUUGGUUUGCGGACAGAGGAGUUUGCUGGCAGCAGAAGGAACAGCAAAUGAUCAGAAGUGUAGUAUAUGCAGUGUUCACUUUUUACCCCAAGCUCCGCCUGUGGUAUGAGAUGAGAGCAGCUUAUCAAUGGGCUAUCUUUGUUCUCUUAGUGUCAGCCCUCCUCCUGUUUGGGCAAAAAAAUUCACCACAAAAGCAGAAGCGGAUGCAGCCAUGCAUGUGCUCCUUUUUUAAUGUCCGGCGUUCAUUCAUAGAGGUAAUAUUAGUUCCAUGUAGAUAAGGUUCGAGAAGAGAACAAAAUUUAACUGCUUAUUUUUCAAUUUCUUGAGGAUAAUGAGCAGAUCAAUGAUCAAUUAGUGCCCUCACUGUUGUUAACAAAUUGGUUUUAAUUAUGAUGCAUGGACAGGAUGAGGAUCUGUGGUGAUUUACUUAUUUGGGUAUCUAUCAAGUUGAUGUUCAAAUGUGACUUCUUGUUGUCGGUUUGGAGUGAGUGACCAAUGGCAAGACUGCGAUGGGCAUCUUCCUCUGUGGGACGCCAUGGCACGAUAAUAUUUGAAACUGUUUCUUCAUGGUUUACUUUUUUUUAUAUUAAUACCUCCAAGACGUCUGAUAAAAUUCCUCUAUGGGUUAUAUCAUCUAAUUGCUUAGUACGUCUGUUACCACAGAUUGCUUUCAUGAUACACUAGGGAAGAAUCAGUCACUUUUGUUUAAUGUCUUUGCCAAAGUUGCUUAAUGUAAUUUUGUAUUUUCCAGUGUGGAAAUCUCUUGCAUUUAUGGUCGUGUUGUUUUAUUGAACCUACAUUGUGAAUUACUUGUUUCCAUUUUUCUGGAAAGAUAUUUGACAAAAAAAUAAUUCCAGCAGGUUAAAUGUAUCAGAUGGGCAUUACUCACUGUUCUAGCAGAAUUCAUCAAUAAUCAAGCUUCUGGUAGGUUAAAUGUAUCAGGUGGGCAUCCAGUUGCUCAAAUUCAUGGUCCCAGUCUGGGACGGAAAUUGUCAAGUUCAGGAAGAAAGUAGAACAGUAGGAUUUCUUAGGUGGCGUGGUACAUUUACUUUAGGUUAAGUUCUGUAGUUCUUGAAUUUAUUUGUGCAACUGAAAUUUUAGGGUGAUCUUCAUGGUACUCUGCAAAUUCUGCUCAGAGCUCAAAGUAGUAGGGAAAUAUUUUGUCAAGCUGGAGGCGAAGCUGUCCAGUGAAUCCGAUGGCCGCAUUAUUGAAGAAUGCAAUUUUCGCCUUUUCAUCUAUUCUUGGGAAUGCCAGCAAACGAAUGUUCUCUAGCUUUUACUAUUGUUUGCCCUGAUUAGGGCAUUAGGCAGCUCGAUGAGAACACUGAUUUUGUAUGUUAUUUUUGGUAUAAUCAUUUCCUCA